This 811-nucleotide long non-coding RNA is filed under the name Prunus persica (peach). RNAcentral's name for it is "long non-coding RNA (PPER_LNC000100)". The record is from RNAcentral. Lineage: Eukaryota; Viridiplantae; Streptophyta; Magnoliopsida; Rosales; Rosaceae.
CAUACAUAUAUAAAGCAAGAAACAACAUGCUCAAUCAGCCACAAGUGAAGAAACAACUUGCUGAUACAUAACCACAUGACAUGAAAAUUUCAUGCAAAUAACUAGUAAUUAUAAUGGAGUCACACUAGAAGCUGCUGCAAAAUGAGUUGGUGUCCAGAACUCUUAUUUCUAGCAAGCAACUGGCUCUCUCUCAUUUAUUCUAACUCACUAGUUGAGAUGGACAGGUGGAGUUCAGGGCUUCUGGGGUGGAUUGUAGUAUGGGGGAGGCUUCUUCUUAUAUGGAGUUGGAGGAGGAGGAGGUUUCUUCCCUUCUGGCUUUUGUGGGGGUAGAGGAGCCUUGAUUGGAGGAGGGUGUUUAGGGUAACUAGGUGUGAUUGGUUUCACAACAGGAGGUAGAGUUGGUGUCUUAGGAUAAGGUGGUGGAAGUGGCUUGGUCACCGGCGUAGGUGGCGGUGAAUGUACAAUAGGAGGCUGAGUGCUUGGUGGUUUGCCAUAAGGUGAGGAUGGUGGUGGCCUCACCACUCUAGGAGGCAGAGUUGGUGGUUUGGGUUUGGGCACUAUUGGUGGUGAUGGCUUGUUAUAAACUGGGGGUGAUGGCUUCUUGAUGGGAGCUGGGGGCUUGUAAAUAGGAGAAGGAGUUGGUGGUUUGGGUUUGGGCACUAUUGGUGGUGAUGGCUUCUUGAUGGGAGCUGGGGGCUUGUAAAUAGGAGAAGGAGUGGGUGGCUUGGGUUUUUCAUUGUACUCAGCUAGAGAUGAAGUGAUGAGAACCACCAGGCCAAACAAUAGCACAAGCAACUUUGAGUAACUCAUG